UCCGGUGGCUAUAGCUACGGGGCCAUACCUGUUCCCAUCCCGAACACAGUAGUCAAGCCCGUAUGCGCCGAUGAUACUUGGCGGGCGACCGCCCGGGAAAGCAGGACGCUGCCGGUC
RNAcentral lists this ribosomal RNA (117 nucleotides) under Eubacteriales Family XIII. Incertae Sedis bacterium. The record is from RNAcentral. Lineage: Bacteria; Bacillati; Bacillota; Clostridia; Peptostreptococcales; Anaerovoracaceae.